AAAAAACACUGAAAAAACCUCUGUUUUGUUAUUGUUAAGCUGCAGGUGAUGAGUGAUGUGAGCCAAGGAGGAUGAGGAGCUGCCAAGCGUUACAGACCGUUAAGAGGCCAGUGUUGAUCAGUGGCUGUCCAGGCCUUUCACAGCCACUGACACGCCGGCAGCACAAUGAUGAUGUCACUGAUUCUACUGCUGGCCACCCUGGGGCUCCUUGUUCAGGAUUCAUCAGGAGAAAUCAUCCUGACUCAGUCUCCUGGAUCUCAGUCUGUUGCUCCAGGACAAACUGUCUCCAUCAGGUGUAAAACCAGUUCAAAUGUUUAUGGCAAUCUCCACUGGUACCUUCAGAAACCUGGAGAAGCUCCUAAACUCCUGAUUUAUUCAGCUACAACUCGUCAGUCUGGAGUUUCAGAUCGUUUUAGUGGGAGUGGAUCUGGGACUGACUUCACUCUGACCAUCAGAGGAGUUCAGGCUGAAGAUUCAGGAGUUUACUACUGUCAGCAGAGUUACAGCUACCCGUUCACACAGUGAUACAACGUCGUACAAAAACCUCCCUCAGCUGGAGAGGAACUGAUCUGACUCAACAGCUGCACUGAAACUAAAACAACACAAGUUUUACUCAGAACAAAAAAUGCAGUUAAGAAUAAUUCACUUAUAACAUUUAUUAUCUAAAUAUACUGUAAAUAAACACUAUGUAUAGUUUAGUUAUUCAGGCCUUUAACAUUCUGCUGCACAUCAAAGCUAAACUCUGUUGAAGAAUAAUUUCAUGAUUCAUAAUAGAAUAAUAAUAAUUUAAUUCAUAGAGUAUGAUAACACAUGAAUGUAUGAAUGUAAAUAUUAUAUAUUAAAAAUCUUACCAUUUUUCAUUGGA
This is a non-coding RNA of Epinephelus fuscoguttatus (brown-marbled grouper), 865 nucleotides long. The record is from the annotation of a RefSeq genome assembly. NCBI's taxonomy places the organism in Eukaryota, Metazoa, Chordata, Actinopteri, Perciformes, Serranidae.